Molecule: ribosomal RNA, 1020 nt
Filed under: uncultured bacterium
Lineage: Bacteria
Description: bacterial SSU rRNA
Rfam family: Bacterial small subunit ribosomal RNA
Source: RNAcentral
GCAAGUCGUACGAACGGAGGGAAGCUUGCUUCCCGAAGUUAGUGGCGAACGGGUGUGUAACACGUGAGCAACCUACCUCUCGGCGGGGGAUAGCCGGCCUAACGGCCGGGUAAUACCGCGUAUCGCGCUGUAGCCGCAUGACUGCAGCGUGAAAGCGGCCGCAAGGUCGCGCCGGGUGAGGGGCUCGCGGCCUAUCAGCUUGUUGGUGAGGUAACGGCUCACCAAGGCUACGACGGGUAGCUGGUCUGAGAGGACGAUCAGCCACAUUGGGACUGAGAUACGGCCCAGACUUCUACGGAAGGCAGCAGUGGGGAAUAUUGCGCAAUGGCCGCAAGGCUGACGCAGCGACGCCGCGUGUGGGAUGACGGCCCUCGGGUUGUAAACCACUGUCAGGGGGGACGAAUACCCGGCCUCGAAUAGGGGACCGGGGGUGACGGUACCUCCAAAGGAAGCACCGGCCAACUCCGUGCCAGCAGCCGCGGUAAGACGGAGGGUGCAAGCGUUGUCCGGAUUCACUGGGCGUAAAGCGCGCGUAGGCGGCCGUUUAAGUCAUCUGUGAAAGCCCGGGGCUCAACUCCGGGACUGCAGGCGAAACUGAAUGGCUAGAGCUCGGUAGAGGCGAGUAGAAUUCCCGGUGUAGCGGUGGAAUGCGUAGAUAUCGGGAAGAAUACCAGUGGCGAAGGCGGCUCGCUGGGCCGAAGCUGACGCUGAGGUGCGAAAGCGUGGGGAGCAAACAGGAUUAGAUACCCUGGUAGUCCACGCCGUAAACGAUGGGUACUAGGCGUCGGGGGGAGCGACCCCUUCGGUGCCGUCGCUAACGCAGUAAGUACCCCGCCUGGGGAGUACGGCCGCAAGGCUGAAACUCAAAGGAAUUGACGGGGGCCCGCACAAGCGGUGGAGCAUGUGGUUUAAUUCGAUGCAACGCGAAGAACCUUACCUGGGCUUGACAUGCACGUGAAAUCCGGUGGAAACACCGGCCCCUCUUCGGAGCACGUGCACAGGUGCUGCAUGGCUGUCGUC